UGAAGAGUUAAUGGGAACAAUAUAAAAAGGAACUAUAUUCUUGCUUAAAAAUGCUUCUGCCCCUGCUUGAGCAAAAACCACAGCUCUUGCAGGUACAAAGCUUGCCCACAGCCCUGCCGCCUUGCGAAAAAUAGGCUGUUCUGCAAAAGCCACGAGAUGUAUUCAAGAUUUCCCAGAAACUGCUGUUACCCACCCAAAACCACCCAGACCCCCAAGACUCAGCUAGGUGUCUGAACCCCGAGUAACCCCUCUACCCCACCCAUAUGAAACUGCCCUAUAAAAAGCCUAUAAGCUGGAGCUUCGGGGUCUUCAGUCCUCAUCUUGACUGUUGACCCGUGUGCACACGUACAAUAAACUGCUUCU
Peromyscus maniculatus bairdii (prairie deer mouse) is the source of this 363-nucleotide long non-coding RNA. RefSeq lists it as uncharacterized. The record is from RefSeq and is a predicted model, not a curated record. Lineage: Eukaryota; Metazoa; Chordata; Mammalia; Rodentia; Cricetidae.